Molecule: long non-coding RNA, 30846 nt
Filed under: Gossypium barbadense (sea-island cotton)
Lineage: Eukaryota; Viridiplantae; Streptophyta; Magnoliopsida; Malvales; Malvaceae
Description: long non-coding RNA (GBAR_LNC022904)
Source: RNAcentral
AAAGUAGAAAUUUGGCGAUGGAUUAUUCCCAUUCACUCACAGCAACUUCAGCUGUUGCAAUCAUUGCUUUUCCACUACUAUUUCUUUUCUCUUUUCUAUUGAUAUCAAGAAGAAACACAAACUCGAAGAAAACAGCACCAGAAGCUGGUGGAGCAUGGCCUAUUAUUGGUCAUCUACGCCUCUUAGGAGGGUCACAACCACCUCACAUAAGCUUGGCUAACAUGGCUGACAAAUAUGGAAGAAUCUUCAGUAUCAAGUUGGGUGUGCAUAGAGCUUUGGUGGUGAGCGAUUGGGAGAUUGCGAAGAAUGUCUCACCGUAAAUGAUAAAGCGUUUGCCUCUCGUCCAAAACUUGCAAGCUCGGAAAUUUUGGGUAACAACAGAGCCAUGUUAGGCUUUGCACCAUAUGGACCUUAUUGGCGUCAAAUACGCAAGGUUGCCACUAUUGAGCUCCUCUCAAAUCACCGACUCGAAUUACUUAAACAUGUAAGGGAAUCCGAGGUGAAGACAUCUCUGCAACAGUUGUACCAGCUGUGGAACAAGAAGAGAAGUGCUAACUCCGAUAAAGUAUUGGUGGAGAUGAAGGGAUGGUUCAAAGAAGUUACUCUGAACGUGAUUAUUAGGAUGAGUGUAGGGAAGCGAGAGGUUCCAAAUCAGUAGGUGAAACUUGAAAUGGAGGAAAUCGAUGGAUGACUUCUUUGUACUAAGUGAAAGUUCUUAAUAUCAGAUGCUUUGCCGUUUCUGAGAUUCCUGGACAUAGGUGGAGACAUCAAGUUCAUGAAGAAGACAGCGAAAGAAUUGGACCAAGUUCUGCAGGGAUGGCUACGAGAGCACAAGCAGAAGAGAGCUGAAAAUAAGGCAAACGGUGAGGAAGAUUUCAUGGGAGUGAUGCUGUCUAUUCUCAGUGAGGCGGAGGAACACCAUGCUGAUACAAUAAACAAAAUCAAUUGUCUAGUACGUGCAUAUCUCUUAACCAAAUAGAUUGUGAUUAAUGGCAAUUUUUUUUGGUCAAGAUUGCUAUUAAUAACAUACAUAAGUUGGAAAUGCCAUUAUUUCAUUGUUGAUCUUUUCAUGGUAUUUGAUGUAACAGGGACUUAUCUUAGGCGCGGAGGAUACCACAUCCAUCACAUUGACAUGGGCCUUAUCUUUGCUACUCAAUAAUCGUGACAAAUUGAGUAAAGUCCAACAAGAACUAGAUGUCCACAUUGGUAAGGAUAGACUACUUCUGACCGAAUCAGACACCAAAAACUUAGUGUACCUUCAAUCCAUCAUUAAAGAAACUCUACGCCUAUAUCCUCCUGGUCCGCUCUCUGUGAUCCAUGAAGCCAUUGAAGACUGCACGGUUAAUGGAUACCAUGUUUCAGCUGGCACUUGGCUUAUUAUGAAUCUUCAUAAGAUUCAUCAUGAUCCACUUAUAUGGGCAAACCCUUUUGAAUUUCAACCUGAAAGAUUUAUAACUACCCACAAAGACAUUGAUGUGAGGGGACAGAAUUUUGAACUAGUUCCAUUUGGAAGUGGUAGAAGAAUGUGCCCCGGAGUUUCAUUUUCACUUCAAGUUUUACAGCUUACGUUGGCUAAUGUGUUGCAUUGGUUUGAGUUUGAAACCCCAUCAGGCAUAGCAGUCGAUAUGCGUGAAGGACUUGGGAUAACGAGUUCUAAAACAACUCCAUUAGAAGUUCAUAUAACUCCUCGCCUUCUUGCUUUUGUUUACAAUUCCACUAACCCCAUUAGAGCUUACCCUGGGUAAUUUGCUGCAUUGGUUCGAGUUUCAAACUCCAUCAAACAAUCCAGUCGAUAUGUCUGAAGCAGUCAAAUUAAUGAGUCCUAAAGCAACUCCAUUAGAAGUUUAUAUAACUCCUCACAUUCCUACUUAUGUUUACCUAUAAUUAUAAUAAAUAAAUUUUUAGUAUUAUUACUAUAUAUAUCUUUUUGCUGAUUUAAUAUAUUUAUUUAUUUUGAAUAAAUAAUUUUAUUCAAAACAUGCAUUAUCAAUAAUCGUGUUGAAAGAACAUUUCAACAUACUAAAGCAUAUGAGAACGAAAGUCGAUUGGAACCUUACCCCUGUAUUGGUGGAUAUCAAUGUACUACUAAAGCAUCAAGUUGGAGUUGUUUAUUGGGCUCUUCUAAGAAAAAAUCACAGAGUUCAUUUCAUAAAGAUAUAAUUUUAGCUAAAUCAUAAAUUUAGAGUUGUUAUGCCUCCGCUGCUUGGAUCUACUCCUCACGAAAGCUCCACCUAUUACUCGGACAUAUCUUUCGGGAACAUUCCUUGACCUAACUGUCAUAUUAAUUUAUGUGAGCUCUACUCAUUAAUCGUCACUAUUCAACCUCACUAUCGUGUUUCAUCUAAAGUGAUUGAAAGCACGUCCAAUCGCCACCCUAUCUAAAUCUAUGGUGACAAACCAUUUGGCCCAUUAUUCCUGACUUGCUAAUAGAGACGUGACAUAUGGCAUCUCGAGAUUGUAGCUAAGGGUUUAAAAUCUCUCAAAUCUAACUAGAAAAAGGAACUCUCUCUUUCUCUCCGCUCCUUUCAUUCCUCCUUCAACAACCUAACCCGAUAUCAACACUAUCUUCGUUUGAACACCUCCUAUGGUGGUUGUCUGCCUUAUACCUAACGGGGUGAAUCGCCUAAUUCCACUGUCAUUUCUGUUUUAUCAAAUCCAAGCAUUAACAAUUGAUAAAGUAAGUGUAGACUCACUCCUAUUCUGAUAUUUCUCUAAUACCAAACUCAAAACCAAAUAUAAAAUGUUAUCUAAACUCAACCAAAUCAACACGAAAACUACUACUAUCAUCCUUACAACUAUUAUGCUAAACGAUAUUCAUGUCAACAAAGAUAUUAUAAAGCUUACCCAAACUAUUAAAUUAGACAAUUUGAAUUAAAAGUUGAUUUGAAAUUAAAUGCUUUUAUCGUAUGUGUCAUUAAACGGAGCUUUCUACAUUAGCAUGUAACUUGUUAGAUGGAGCUUUCUAGCAGGCAGGGGCUUGAGCUUGAUCCCCACUUGGCUAAAGGGUAUAGUACCCUUUUCAAUCCCUUUGAAAAUUGAUUCUUAAAUAUUAUUCUUAAAAUUAGUCCACAAGUUUAUCUUACUCGAAAAAAGAUUAAAUUGUUCAAAAAAAUAAAAGUGUAAGGACUAGUUUUAACAGAUGGUAAACAUAGAAAAUUGCGUUAAAAGAAAUGGAGAAGGGAGGAAAACAGAGAGAGAAGCAAAAGAGAAUGCAAAAAAUAAGGAAAAAAAAAGAAGAAAAAAUAACAUAAAAGAAAAAAUGAAAUUUCUCAAAAUGAAAAAAUAUGGGGACCGAUAAUAGAAAUUAACCUAAAAUUUUUGUUUGUAAUGAUGAUUUAAUGUGCCACAUCAGUUUACCAUUUAUAUCGUUAAUGACAAUCAACGACGCAAUGACUAAAAUGUUACAGUGAGAUAACUUAAGUGACUAAAAUGUAACCUAAAGUAAACAAAAAUGACUAUUUUAGUUGUUUACCCAUAAUAUUACUUAUUUUAAUUACGGAAUGACAUUCAUAUAAUUUUUUAACCAAGUUAGUGACCGAUUGACUCAUACACCAACUUGAUCCGGAGUUUAAUAAUAGUAUAGAUAUACAACUGAUGGAACUAAUAGAGUGUGUAUAAUAAAAUUAAAAUAUAUACAAAUAUCAAAAUAAAAUUUUAGUUGAGUGGUAAAUUAAAUAUUUUAAAUAAUGCAAUUGGUGUGAGUUUGAAUCCCAUAAUAUCCAUAUUUUUAUCUCUUUUUUUACGUAAAAAGAUUAAAAUACCCUCAUAGUUUAAUUAAGAAUUGAUGCCCAACUAAUUCGUGACACAAACUCGACAAAAAAAUUAAAAGUAAUAUAGAUUUAAUUAAUUAUUAUCAAAAUUAACUCAAUAUAAAACAGUUAAAAAUCAGAAAAUAUCCGAAUUUAUAUUUAAAAAAAUAUGAAUAGAAAAAUCUAAGAUAAUUUCAAAAAAAAUUCCCACACAUGUACUUUAAUAUUUCCGAACACUGCCAAGCUUCAAUAGGCUAUGUAUACUAUUGUUUGUCAAAAGUAGAAAACGUGGGUGGAUUUUGCGUGAUCCUUUAAGAUAUGUAAGAGAUUGAGCAAUCUUACAAUUAUAUCAACAUUUAGUUAAAUUACGUGAUUAAUCUCUGUAUUAUGAAUUUAAUUCUUGUAUUUUAAUUUAUUUAAUUUUCAACUUUAAAAUUUUAGUUCUCAUCAAACCAUAAUUAUUACAUUCAUUAAGUUAAAUUUUGCUAUUUUCAAAAUUUAAUGCGAAAAACAUAUUACCAUAUAUGUAAUGCCAUGUCUUAUUAUUUUCAAAUAUUACUCACUAAAAAUUCAGUUAAUGGAUUAAUGACGGUCAUUUACGUCAAGAAUGAAAUUUUAAUUUUUAAAAAGUACAGGGAUUUAGAAUGAUCUAAUUGGAGAAUAUGGACUAAAUUUACAAUCGCACACAUAAUACAAGACUAAUAAUUGAAUUUAAACAAACGGAUUUAACUACUGUUUAUUGGGGUUAAGACUAGAAUUUUAAAAUUAAAAAAAAGUUUAAGAGACUAAAAUUCACCAAUUCAAAAAAUAUAAUGAUCAAAAUUAAUCAAAUUAAAAUGUAUGGGUUAAAUCUGUAAGUUUUACAAAGUAGAGGGACUAAUAACAAAAUUUAACCUUAAUUAAAGAAAUUAUUGUUCCUAGAGUGUGGGGGAAUAUAUAUAAUUGGGUAGACAGCAGGUCACAGUUUUCAUUUUUAGGCACCAAAAAUAAAAAUUUACAACUUUGGCACUCCUAAUUUAUCUUUUCCCUCAUCUCUGCUACUCACAUUCCAUUUCUUAUUUUAAUAUUGAAGUGGGAAUCUGGCGAUGGAUUAUUUCUAUUCACUCACAGCAACUUCAACGGUUGCAAUCGUUGCUUUUCCACUACUACUUUUCUCUUUUCUGUCGAUCUCAAGAAGAAACACAAACUCAAAGAAAACAGCACCAGAAGCAGUCGAUAUGUGUGAACUGUGAAGCACUUGGGAUAUCAAGUUCUAAAGCAACUUCAUUAGAAGUUUAUAUAACGUCUUCUUUUUUAUUUUAUUUUAUGAUUCCAUUAACUAAUUGGUAUUUUAAUUUUAUUAAAAAAUGAAUAGAAUUCAAUAAAUUUCUAAGGUACUAUACUCGUCAUGGAAUAAUACCAUAUGCAACUUUUAGUAUUUUAACUUUCUUGAAAAAAAAAAGUAGAAUUCAAUAAAUUUCAAAUAUUUCAGGGAAAAGUGGUUUGCCCAAGUAAUGUUAGUCAAUUUAAUGGUAAAGACAUGAAUGUCCCUUGCACGAUAUCAAAUCCACUGGACCCUUGAUCAGUCCAAUUCAAGGAGACGUAAAGUAUCGCACUACAUGUCAAAUCAAGACCAGCUCUUAACAACAUUUUGAUUGAUUGUUUUCAGAACAAGAAAAAUGGAAAAGAAUUGAUAAUGGAAAUGGAUUGAUCAUUGAUGUAUGAUGGGUGGGGACGGGGGAAAAGGGUACUUCACUUUACAUAAAAAAGAUCAUGAUCUUUGUUCAUCGCAAACAAAAUAUAGGCAAUAGAUUUAGCUAAUAAUAAAUUACAAUUUCUUAAAACAACUAUAAAUCCAACUCCCUCAACUUAAUUAAUUGGUAUGGAUUCAUUUUAUUCAACCCCAACCCCUUCAACCCUUGUGAUAAUUGUUUUUCCAUUAUUGCUAGUUUUUCUUUUCUUUUUUCUAUGGAUAUCAAAAUCUAACCCUACAAAUACAAACAAUGGGAAACUAGCAACAGAAGCGGGUGGAGCAUGGCCUAUUAUUGGCCAUCUCCGCCUCCUAAGAGGGCCACAACCACAUCACAUAAUGUUUGGGUUUUGACAACAAAACAAAGAGAAAAGAAGCAAAGAAAUGUAUGCAAAACAAAUUUGAACAAGAAGAAACUGAAAAAUGAAUCUGAUUAUCAUUUUAAAUUUUCAUUAAGUAAAAAACAUAUAGGUUACAAAGUUGUUACCUAAUGUGUAACCGCUCCCACUAAUUACUUGAUUAAAGUAAAGCUAAAAUUACACACAAAAUGUAGCUGACAUAUCAGCUAUUGUAUCACAUUGGAAAUCAUUCAAAUCAUCAACUAAUCUUUCUAGCUUUAAAUACAAAUUAGGUAAAAACUAAAGCUAGUUACAUAUAUAUGAACAAAAUGUUGCUGCUGUACUAGUUGAGCUUCAAUGCUUCUCUGCUGUUGCAUUGUAGGCCAAAGUUCAACACUCCUCCUUAGACUGUAUGCAACAAACACCAAUACUUCUUCUUAAGUUCUCAAAUCUUGUAGCACCGAGAGACUUAGUUAGUAUAUCAGCAAAUUGAUUCUCUAAGCUGCAAUGAAUCAAAUUAACUUCAUUUGAUUGUUCAGCCUCUCUAACAAAAUGAAAUUUUAUCUUAAAAUGCUUGGUUUUGACAUGAAAUACUGGAUUUUUGGCUAUGGCAACAGCUGACUGAUUGUCAACUCUAAUAUCAGUAGCUUCAGCUUGAUCUUCAUUCAAAUCACAUAAAAGUUUCCUAAGCCAAAUGGCUUGAUUAACAGCUGCAGCAGCUGCAAUGUACUCUGCUUCUUCUGCAGAUUGAGCAACAAUUUUUUGUUUUUUUGAACUCCAACAAAAGACCUUUGAGCCAAGAGUGAAGAAAUAACUAGAUGUUCUCUUCAUGUCAUCAAUGGAUCUUGCCCAAACACUAUCAGAAUACCCUAUCAACUUGAGUUCUUUUGCAUUCUCAAAUUUCACUCCAUAGCUCAAAAUCCCUUUCACAUAUCUAAGAACCCUUUUACCUGCUUUAAAAUGAACAACAUCACAGCAAUGCAUGAAUCUAGAAAGAAAACUAACAUCAAACAUAAUAUCAGGCCUAGUAGCUGUCAAGUAAAGCAGACAACCUACAAGGCUUCUAUACUUUUUCUCAUCAACUCUUUCAUGGUUGCCAUUGUUGGUUAGUUUCUCACCUUGAGCCACUGGUGUGCUAACUGUUUUACAAUUUGACAUACAAAAUUUGUUUAAGAUCUUCAAGGCAAAGGUCCGCUGACUUAUGAAGAUGGCAUGAUCAAUUUGAAUCACUUCCAUGACAAGAAAGUAAGUCAUUUCACCCAAGUCAGCCAUUUCAAAAACAUCUUGCAUCUGCACUUUGAACUCUUUAAUCAACUCUCUCUUGCUUCCAGUUAUCAACAAGUCUUCUACAUAGAGUGACACAAUCAAUAGGGUUUCAUUCUCUAACCUUAUUGUAUCUAACCUUGCAACAGGGGCAAAGGUUUCUUAGAAUUCAAUGCCAUAUUGUUGGCUAUAUCCCUUCACCACAAGUCUUGCCUUGUGUUUGUUUAGAAACCCAUCAGCAUUGUACUUGACCCUAAACACCCAUUUCACACCAAUAAUUCUCUUCUAUUGACCAGAUGUGUCCUCAAUAACAUAGGAGUUAUUAUUGAAAACAAGUGAAUAGCCUUUCUCUAUUAACUGACCAACACUAAGCAAAUUUUGGUCUAUAUCAAGUACAAAAAGGACAUCUGAAAUUGUUUUGUUACCUGAUUUUAUGUUGAUCACAACAUUGCCUCUUCCUUUGGCCUCAAUAAGGUUUCCAUCUCCAAUCCUAACUUUGGAAACAAAGCUUUUGUCAAGAUCUUUGAAUAACCCUUCAUCUGAUGACAUGUGAUGAGUGCAUCCACUGUCUACUAACCAGUCUCUUCUGACUUUGCUAGAAGUUGCAAAAUAGAAUGUAGUGAAAACAUGCUCCUCCCGAGCUUGAAUGUCCUCAGCAGCCUGAGCUUGAUUCUGUUGCUGAGUUUGUGCCCUUACUUUGUUCUUGCAAACUUUCUCAAUGUGAUCAAACUGCUUGCAGCUCCUACACUGAAUAUCAGGCUUGUGCCAACAGUACCUCUCUAAAUGUGUGGACUUUUUGUAGUGAAUGCAUGGUGGAAAUUUCUUCUUUCCUGCAUCCCUCUUUGGUCUCUCCCUCUUGUCAACAGAUGAUUUCUUUCUUUUGUAGCUCAAACUUAAGCUUUCUUUGACUUUUGCUUGAAAAGCUCUUUUAGGAUGCUCCUCCAGUUUGUUGGCCCUUCUUUGCUCUAAUGUAUACAGAGCAUUUAUCAAUUUAGAUAGUGAAAUGGUUGAUAAGUCUCUUAAGUCCUCCAGUGAGGAGAUUUUUGACUCAAAAUUUUCAGGAAGUGUUGUAAUGACCUUCUCAACAACUCUGCUCUCACUGAAAUCAUCUCCAAAGAGCCUAAUGUUAUUGACUGUGGUCAUUACCCUAUCAAAGUACUGCUUGAUUAUUUCAGACUCUUUCAUUUUCAAGUUCUCAAAGUCCCUCCUGAGGUUGAUCAGCUAUUGACUGGUCUUGUCUGACCCCAAAAACUCUUCCUUCAGCUUCUUUCAGGUUUGCUUUGGAGUGUCACAAGCCAUUAUUCGAGUGAAGAUCACAUCAGGACACUAUUUUGCAAGCAUGCUAUUGCUUUGUGCUUCUUGGCAUACUCUUCACUAUGCUGUCUGAUUUGUGCAAUGGUGGGAUUGGGCCUCAAUGCAGCUGGUUCUAUGUCAUUCUCAACCACAUUCCACAAGUCAUGUGCUUGGAGCUAAGUUUUCAUCUUCACUACCUAAAUGUGGUAGUUCUCACCAGAAAAGACAGAUGGUGGUGGUGGUGGUGUAAAGCUUAUGUUGUAGUAACAACAAAAAUAAUAGCUUCAGUUUCUUUUUCUUCAAGGUUCCUCACAAAACAGCUACCAACAACAAAGGCCCUCAAAGAUGACAGGCCUUGUAUACCAUUUGUAAGGGUUUUGACAGUAAAACAAAGAGAAACGAAGCAAAAAAUGUAUGCAAAAUAAAUUUGAACAAGAAGAAACUGAAAAAUGAAUUUGAUCAUCAUUUCAAAUUUUCAUUAAGUCAAAAACAUAUAGGUUACAAAGUUGUUACCUAAUGUGUAACUGCUCCCACUAAUUACUUGACUAAAGUAAAGCUAAAAUUACACACAAAAUGUAGCUGACAUAUCAACUAUUACAUCACAUUAGAAAUUAUUCAAAUCAUCAACUAAUCUUACUAACUUUAAAUACAAAUUACAUAAAAACUAAAUCUAGUUACAUAUGAACAAAAUGUUACUGCUGUACUGGUUGAGCUUCAAUGCUUCUUUGUUGUUGCAUUGCAGGCCAAAGUUUUACAAAUAAGCUUGGGUAACAUGGUAGAAAAAAAUAUGGAAGAACGUUCACUAUCAAGUUGGGUGUGCAUAGAGCUUUGGUGGUGAGUAGUUGGGAUAUUGCUAAAGAAUGUCUCACCAUAAAUGAUAAAGCAUUUGCCACACGUCCAAAGCUUGCAGCUUAGGAAAUUUUGGGUUAUAACAAUUCCGUGAUCGCCGUUGUGUCGUACGAACCUUUCUGGCGUCAAGUACACAAGUUUGCUACUGUUGUGCUCCUUUCUAAUCACCGGCUUGACUUGAUGUGUAGGAUCACCCCGAUUAAGCAACGAACAAGUAAAAAUAGUAGAAGAAAUUGAGAAGUUGAACACACAAAUUUAACGUGGAAAAACCCCUCCAAAGAGGAUAAAAAACCACGGGCAAAAAUAAUUUUACUAUAAUGGCAAAAGAACGAAGAGUACAAAAGAUGGAGAUAAAAACUAAACCCCAAAAAUCCGAAAACAAAGAACCCUCAAAACGUAAACACAAAAUUCUCUAAAUAUGUUAUGAGUUCUAAUCUAAUGGGUGUGUUUUUCUAAGAUUGUAAAAGAGCCUAUUUAUAGGCUAAAUUAGUAAGUCAAAUAAACUAUAUUGAUAAAUGCUAAAUUUAUUAUACUAAUAAAUACUAAAUCUUCUAGAAAUAAAACAUAUUUUUGUUUAACUUGACUUGCAAGCAAUCUCUUAGAAUUUGGGUCAUACAAUUCUAACAAUCUCCACCAUGACAUGAAUUCUUUCAACGCCAUCUUUGCCAAAACCCGCCACGGGCCUAUCUUGAACUAUGCAGGAAAUUAACUGAGUUGAAUCUAUGCUUAGAAGCUGGAAUACUUUUAGCCUUCGACUUGUGCACUGCCAAAUCAAAACUAACCCGGGUCUGAUUUUUACAAAUACAGUGCCCUAACUUUUCAAAACCUGCAUCCAAAAGAGAACCUCUCUUCAACAAAAUAGUCAUACCUUUUUCCCUCCUACGACCAAGUUGCCUCCGCUCAAAACGAGUUAACUUUGACUCUAUAACGGACGAGGGAUGUCCGAUUUCACCGGUCACUGUAGAACCUUCCAGAAUAUAAAGACUGCCAGUUCUUUUACCUUAUAACAAAACGAGAGCUCCACGAGAUAUUUUAAUGUCGUUAGACUCGAUGUUGAUUCUGCAUUCUUUCAAGUCUAAAAUACUUAAGGAGAUGAGAUUCUUUCGUAAAUCAGGUACAUACCUGACAUCUGAGAGUGUCCUAAUCGUCCCAUCAUGUAUCCUAAUUUUAACAGUACCAAUACCAAUUAUUUUACUAGAUGAAUCAGUUCCCUUGUGCACAACUCCACCUUCAAUUAAACUGUAUGUGGAGAACCAUUCUCUAUUGGGACAUAUAUGGAAAGAACAUCCUGAAUCUAGGAUCCACUCAGACGUAAGCUUGGAGUUAUCGCUCGUUGACACUAACAAGAAAUCAUCACCACCUUCAUCGACCAAAUUAGCAUCAAUUGCACCUUUCUCGUUAUUCUCAACAGCUCUUUUAUUUCGUAGUUUAUAACAAUCUGUUUUGACGUGACCUAACUUUUUACAAUAGCGACACCUUUUGUCUCGUUUCUUUGAUGCUACCAAAAUGGAAUCUUGCCUAUCUACUUUGCUAUUCAAACCAAAAUCAUUGUCGAGUUUGUCUCUACUCGACAAAUGACCCUUCACAUCUUCGAAUGAGAGUUUGUCUAUGCCAUAAAUCAGGGUCUCCCUGAAAGACUUGUAUGAAGAGGGUAAAUAGCACAAUAAUAGCAUAGCUUGAUCUUCAUCAUCAAUAUGAACCUUGACGUUCUUUAAAUCAUUUAAAAGAGUAAUGAAUUGGUUGAUGUGAUCUCUAAGAAGCUCACAUUCGUUCAUGGGAAACGUAAAUAGACGUUGUUUCAACUCUAAAUGGUUAGCCAGAGACUUAGUCGCAUAAAGAGUUUCUAACCUUUUCCACAAGGCGAAUGAGGUCUUCUCCAUCAAUACCAUCUGCAAUACUGUAUUCGCGAGGCACAACUAGAUUGCAGACAAUGCCUUUUCAUCAAGCUCUUCCCAUUUUGUUUGAUUUAGAUUCUCAGGAUUUUCCCUGUAAUAACCUUUUUCAAGACAUUUUGAACUAGAAUUGCCAUUAUCCGAACUUGUCACAGAUUGAAAUUUGUCUCACCAUCGAACUUCUUAAUUUCAAACCUUGUUGCCGUCAUAUCUAAAUGGGCUGAUAUAUGAAAAUUGAACUAUUUCUGAUACCACUUGUUAGAAUCGUCCCGAUUAAGCAACGAACAAGUAAAAAUAGUAGAAGAAAUUGAGAAGUUGAACACACAAAUUUAACGUGGAAAAACCCCUCCAAAGAGGAUAAAAAACCACGGGUAAAGAUAAUUUUACUAUAAUGGCAAAAUAACGAAGAGUACAAAAGAUGAAGAUAAAAACUAAACCCCAAAAACCCAAAAACAAAUAACCCUCAAAACGUAAACACAAAAUUCUCUAAACGUAUCAUGAGUUCUAAUCUAAUAGGUGUGUUUUCCUAAGAUUGUAAAAGAGCCUAUUUAUAGGCUAAAUUAGUAAGUCAAUUAAACUAUACUAAUAAAUGCUAAAUAUAUUAUACUCAUAAAUACUAAAUCUUCUAGAAAGAAAGUAUUUUUUUGUUUAACUUGACUUGAACUUGACUUGCAAGCAAUCUCUUAGAAUAUGGGUCACGCAAUUCUAACAUGAUGAAACAUGUACGGGAAUAUGAGAUAAAGACAUCUAUGUAAAAGUUAUAUCAGCUAUAGAACACUGAGAAAAGUAGUAAGAGUGAAAAAAUAUUGGUGGAUAUGAAGAGAAGGUUCAAAGGUGUUACUCUUAACAUGAUUUUAAGAGUUAUUUUAGGGAAGCGAAUACCGAAUUCAUACGAAAGAGGUGAAACCCUAAAAUGGAAUAAGUCAAUGGAUAACUUUUUUGAGCUAGGUGGGAAGUUUGUAUUAUCAGAUACACUGCCGUUUUUGAGAUGGUUAGACAUUGGUGGAGAGGAGAAGCUCAUGAAGAAGACGAGAAAAGAAUUAGACUAGGUUGUCGAGGGAUGGCUACGAGAGCACAAGGAAAAGAGAGCUGAAAAUGAUGUGAAUAGUGAUGAAGAUUUCAUGAGAGUAAUGUUGUCUAUUCUAUGUGAUAUGGAAAAGCAUGAUUUUGAUAUAAUCAACAAAGCCACAAGUCUUGUAUGGGCAAAUCUCCUUACCGCAAUCUUCAUUAGAACUAUGUUCAAAUUACACUUUUAAUGCCAUAAGGAAGUUAUGAUGUUGAAUAUUAAUUGUUGGUUUCAGGCUCUUAUCUUAGCGGCAGAAGAUAUCUCAUCAAUCACACUAAUGUGGGCUUUGUCUUUGUUACUUUAUAAUAGUGGUGCAACGAGAAAAGUACAACAUGAGCUAAAACAAUAGGAGCUAAACAUUCAUAUUGGUAAACAUAGAUUGUUAGUCAUAGAAUCAGACACCAAAAACUUAGUCUACCUUCUAUCAAUCAUUAAAAAAACAUUACGCUUAUAUCCUGCUAUUCUACUUUCGGGUAUCCAUAAAGCCAUUGAAGAUUGUACGAUUAAUGGUUUUUUUGUUUCAGCUGGUACUUAGCUUAUUUUCAAUCUUCAAAAGAUUCAUCGUCAUCCACUUGUAUGGGAAAACUCUUUGAAUUUUCCACUCGAAAGAUUUAUGACUACCCAUAGAAACAUUGAUGUGAAGGGACAAAAUUUUGAACUAAUUCCAUUUGGUAGUGGUAAAAGAAUGUGCCUUGGAAUUUCAUUUGCACUCCAAGUUUUAGAGCUUAUGCUAGGUAAUUUGCUACAUUAGUUUGAGUUUGGAACUCCAUCAAACGAUCCAGUCAAUAUGUCUGAAGCAGCCAGUUUGUCGAGUCCUAAAGCAACUCUAUUAGAAGUUCAUAUAACUCAUCGUAUUCCUACUUAUGUUUACCAAUAAUUAUCAUAAUUAAUUUUUUAGUAUUAUUACUAUUUAUAUAUUUUUUGUGGAUAUCAAAAUUGUUAGUAUAUUGAUUAUUUAUCGAACUAUUAUUAUAUAAACAAUCAAAAAUAAAUAUUUGGGCUGCUUGGUGCUAUUGGUGCAAUUGAAUUUGCUCAUUUAAUAUUUUUAUUUAAUUAUUUUUUUAUGAAUAAAUAAUUUUAUUCAAAAUAUGCAUUUCAAUAGUUAUGUUGAAAGAAUAUCAACGUACCAAAGCAUCUUAGAACGAAUGCCAAUUGAAACCUUAUCCCUGUAUUGGUGGAUAUCAACGUACUACUAAAGAAUUAAGUUGGAGCUGUUUACUAGGUACUUCUAAGAAAAUUUGAGAGAGUUCAUUUCAUAAAGAUACAAUUUUAGUUAAAUGAUAAAUUUAAAGUUGUUAUGCAUUCACUACACCAAAACAGGUUUUUAGCGGCGUUUUUUAGGCCUUUAGCGGCGCUUUUUAACGCCACUAAAGAUAUUUGCGGCGCUUCUUCAAGCGCCGGAAAAAAUGCCGCUAACGAAAACGUCGCAAAUGUUUGCAGCGUUUACAAACAAAAACGCCGUUAAAGACCAUGUUCUUUAGCGGCGCUUAGAAAAAAACGCCGCUAAAGAUCAUGUUCUUUAGCGGCGCUUAGAAAAAAACGCCGCUAAAGAACAUGUUCUUUAGCGGCGUUUGUAAAAAAAUGCAACUAAAGACCAUGUUCUUUAGCGGCGCUUAGGAAAAAACGCCGCUAAAGAACAUGUUCUUUAGCGGCGCUUAAGGGAAAACGCCGCUAAAGAUCAUGUUCUUUAGCGGCGUUUUUUUUCUAAUCGCCGCUAAAGAACAUGUUCUUUAGUGGCGCUUUUAUACAAAAACGCCACUAUUUUGGGGAUUUUUUUAUAUUAAAAUUUUCAUUUUUUCUGCCCUCCUGUAGCAAAAAUUCAAAAGCAACAUUUCAAAAGCAACCAAUAGCAAUAAAUUUAUAUAAUAUUUCAACAUAAGGGAAUAAAAUAAUAUUAAUAUCAAUAAAUAAAAGUGAAUUCAUAUUGUUUUUGCAAAAAAUGUUAAAUGUUAAAUGUUAAAAUGAUAAAAAUAUUUAUGUCAUACACUAUGAAGGUGGAAGUUGCGACUUAAACAUCUUCAUCAUAAUCUGAAGCUGCUGCUGAAGUUCGUCGUACUUUUUGCUCUACUCUGCUUCUCUUGCUGCAGCCUCCGCUUCCCUCACUGCAGUCGCUGCUUCCCUCGCUUCCGCCUCUGCUUUAAGUUGUAGCUGGAGUUCUUCAUAUUUCCUUUGAACCUCAAUUGUAGUCGCUUGCAUCUGAGCCAUUUGGUCUUUUAACCUCUGAACUUCAGCUUGAGCCUGACUCCCCGAAGCCAUGUAUUGGUGGGAGCUGGAUCCAAAAUAUUGGGUUGGGCUAACAAAAGAUCCUUGAAAUCGAACCCGACCAUACCUUUCAGGACCCAAAACUUCAGUAAUAAUCCGAUUAUCAAUAUCUUCAAGAUGAACCUAACUAUCACUAGAAGCAAUUGCUUCGUACUCCGCCUUUUUAUCAUUUAGUUUUUCCUAAUAAAUAUAUCACAUAGUUAGGAACACAAUAUUAUAUAUUGAAAAACAUAUGCAACAUAACAAUAGUCGCAUUAACUGCAAUGAAUUAAACCAUUAGAAAAUAAACACUAUAAAUAACUAAAAUAAGUCAAAUCGUAUUAAGUAAACGUACCAUUAUUUCAGCAGCUUCAGGAGUCAUGGGAGAUCCAUCUUUCUUCCUAUGUGUAAUUUCAAAAAGUUGAAGGCGUCCAACUUUUUGACCGGACGACCGUUCCUACAAUAUAGUAGUAUAAAUAUUAUUUAAUAGAAAGUUAUACAUAUUCGACAAUAUUAAAAAAUUUAAAAAUACCUCCGCCUCAGCUACACAUGCGAAACUUCUCGACCCGGCUGUGUGGGUGAAUUUUUGUUUCUGCCUGCUGCUUAUUUCAACUUGUUCACGAUCCUACGUUAUGAAAUUUUUUAGUACGUAAAUAGAAAAUACUAUAAACCAAAAUAAUUACAAUAGUUUAGAAGGACGUCAGACCUCGCCUUUAUUCGAAUGCCAAAAUCUAACCGCAUCUUCCCAUUGGUACCUCAACAUACCCGGCGGGACAUUUUGCAAUUUCUUAUCGAGGGUUGUUUUUGUCUUAUAAUAAUUUUUCUUCAAAGUACUUUUGUUGUCUCUCCAUCUUUUUCCCAAUGCCUUCUUUACAUAAGCAUCCGAGACCUCUAAAGCAAACCUCGCCUGCAAAAAACAAAAAACACAAGUUAAUAAAAUAAAUAUAAAUGAAACUAUUUCCCAAGCAUUAUAGAUGACAUUAACAUUUUGUUACCUUAAUAUUAUCGAGGGCUUGGUUUUUGUUGCUAUCGGGCAUUUGAUGCCAUGACUCGUAGUUUAUAGGUAACAUAUUCGGAUUUCGUGCUAAAAUGCCCAUGUAUCCAGCUAAAAGUCGAGCUUCUGAUCCAACAGGCUGACCAAAACUGUUUCGUCCAACUUUGACACGCUCGACUGAAUCUAACUCGUACAACUCUCUAAGUAGCGUACGUCCUCGACCUCUGCGCGUCCCACCAUUUUCAGCUACAAAUGGUAUAUUAUAAUAUAAGAAUUUGAAAAAUAAAUCAACUAUAACAGAAACACGCAUGUAAAUUAAAUGAAAAAUUACUUUGAACUUCUGUAGGAUCCUCAGCUGUAAUCGGAACAUUUGAAGAUCCAACUGCUGUCUGUUGUUCAGUACUAUUAGUUUCUGUCGAGUUUGGAUUAUUUUGAACAAUGCUUCCCCUUAGAAUUUUUCUUCUAGGCAUUUUAUCUACAAUACACAUAAAAUAGUUAAUAACUUAAUAGCUAAUUACAACAAUAACAGCACAUAUAAAACAGUUGAAACAUAUAAUAAGACGAAGAUUUAAAUUAUGAUAUUAUAUAUAAUUAAACAAUCGUAAAAUCUUACUACAUCAUUAUUCGUAAAUAUCUUCAUCGGUAUCCUGACGAACCCAUCCAAAUUGUGCACUAGUACUAGGGAUAUUAUCGUUUAAGUUUAGUUCUGGAAAGGGUAAAGUUACUGAUCUAUCUUCGAUGUUAUCUCUACUUCCACUGCCCAUAUCAAACAAGUCUCUAGGGAUGUUACGGAGUACAACGUACCAACCCUCAUCAGUUGGAUCUUUUGAGUAAAAAACUUGUUUGACUUGAGAUGAGAAUACAUACGGCUCAUCUAUCAGUUGUUGUCCUGUGUGAAUCAAUCGGUCAAAGUUCACCAUUGUAAAACCAAAUUGAUCUUGCUUAAUUCCACGAGCUGUAUUAACAUCGGCCCAAUCACCACGAAAUAAGACAACUUUCCAUUUGCCGUAGUAAUCCAACUCAAUUAUGUCAGUAAGUUGUCCGAAAUAUUCCACAUUUCCCUCGACAGGAUUAUUGUCCCUAGCACUAGCAUAACUCGUAAUUGCAGAAUUGACAACAAUUCCACAAUUUUGCGUUCUCCUCAACCUCUCGCGAUAUUUUGUAUGAAAUCUGAAUCCGUUGAUGAGGAACGCACUAUAUCUUUUAACCACUCGAUUUGGACCUUGGGAGAGCCAUUUAACAUCGUCGUCCGAAAUAAUUAAUGUUAUCUUCAAUACUCAAUUUUGAAUCAUAUAUGAAGUUUUAAAAUUAACUAUAAAGAUUCAUAAAACAAUUAUAUGGGGCGGGUGACAGUUUAUGAACAAUCUUUUAAGUGAGAUUAUUCAGCCGUCCAUCAAUGAACUUAGUCACUCCCUUUAUCCAACUUUUAACCAAAGGAACAUGUACAUGUUAAACUUCUUUAAUUGUAGGCUUCUUUUAGUUAUAAUCGACAUCAGAUUCAGUCGUUUUGAGGCUCUUCCAAGUUGGUUCAUUCCUAGGCUUUUAACAAAAUCUAACUUUUUGAAACCCCAUAUUGUACAUGAUUCAUCAUUUUCUUCAUCCCUUGCCAACAUUGUUUCCAAAAGAAAACAAACCAGAAAAAGCAAAAUCUGCUAAAGAACAGAACAAUAUCAGGUUGUUUAAUGUAUUAAAGGCAAACUAGAUUCCCCAAUUUGGUAAGAAAGGCAUAUAUUCUCGAUAACACAAUAACCAAGACUACAUAUAUACUGACAUAUAAAACAGUUUUGCUUAUUGUCCUAGUUGCCACAUAUGUUUAAAAGGAACCCAGAUUAAACUCUAGAAUCCACAGCCAUAAAGAUGAUAAUACAUUAGUUACCCAUUAGUUACCCACUAGUUACCCAUAGUUUGAGAUAUUCAAAUUUAGUUACCCAUUAGUUACCCAAAUACUACCAUUAGUUACCCUUUUAUGCUUCUCCAAAAAUCGCUGUAAUGGAGAAACAGCAGGCUAAGUUGUGCAAAACAUAACUCAAACCAACUAAAGGAGCAUUUGUCAUUGGCGAAAGCACUUUUUUUAUAGCUUCAACAAAUCAUAUCCGACUUUCCCAAAAUCGGAAGGUCUGUCCCUGUCUUCAAUCUUAACAAUUUCAUUUUCAUGGCCACGCCAUUGAUGCUCCUAGUUUUAUUAUUGGCUGUGUUUUGUAUUCGGGCAACCCCUAAAUAGACAAAAUUUUACCCCGAACAAACCCUUCUAUUUAAAUUGCUAAAUAAACAAUUCACAAGUUCCCCAAAUUCCCAAACAAGAAUGGUGUUUUAACCUAAACCGCAAACCCUAAAAUUUAAUUUUUUUUCUAAGCCCCAAAUUCGAAAAACACAAUGCACCCAAAACCCCAAAUCAAGACGAUGUUCUUCAGAAGGAUUAAACGCAUACCUUUUAACCAGAUAUUCUGCAACUACUGUCAAGAAUGGCGCAAUCGUUGCUUCCUCUUUGAUGAUUUCUGAUUUCUCCUCCCCUUUCUUCCUUAGAAUAUUUUCUUAGGUUUUUUCCCCUUCCCAAUCGGCGUUUUCACUUGCAGAAUAUUUUCUUUCUGUCUUUGUCGACGAGUGAGUAAAAAUGCUAAGUUAAAAGCCAUCUGCAGAAACGGCAUCGUUGAGAAAAAAUUUUAAAACACCUUUGCGGCGUUUAUAGACCAAACGCCACAAAAAAUUAAACCUUUUAACAGAAACGGCGCCGUUUUCUUAGUCUGAAAUUGCAUUUUUUGUGGCGUUUAAUAAAAACCGCCACGUAUACUUAAGCCAAACGUUGACGUUUUCAAUAAAUUAUUCUAAAAUUUUUCCAAGUUAAAAAUCUGUUCCGGAAACGACGUCGUUUAGCGAUUAUAUUAACACCGUUUUGUGGCGUUUUUGGUAAAAACGCCACUAAAUAUUACAGCUGUGAACAGAAACAACACCGUUUUCGUGGUCUGGAAUUGCAUUUUUUGUGGCGUUUUUAGAAAAACGCCACUAAAUAUUACAGCUGUGAACAGAAACGACACCGUUUUCGUGGUCUGGAAUUGCAUUAUUUGUGGCAUUUUCUUAAAAACGCCACUAAAAGUUUAACUAUUCAUUCGAAAACGGCGCCGUUUUGAAUUUUUUUAUUUUUUUAUUUCAUUUCUUAUGUAUUUGGUCAUAUAUAUAUAUAUCCAAAAUAAAUAAUUAUACCUAAAUAUAUAACCAUCCAUAUAAUAUAUAUCAAUAUAUUUUUUAACUUAUUUAUGAAUUCUAUUUAAAAUAAUUUUUAAAUAUAUCAAUUGGUACUUUAGAUUGAUUUUUUAAAAUAUUAUUUAAAUAAAUUAAUCUAAACUAACCUAAAAUCCUUAUUUGACCCCUAAACCCUAAAUCUUUAACCCCUAGAUUGCAACUUGUAACCCCUAAACCCCUAGCUAACUCUUACAUCCCAAACCCUAAAUCUGUACCCCCUAAUCCUUAAAAUAGCACGACCUCUUUUACGACCUCUUUUACAGUUAUAUAUAUAAGAACAUAUUUAAAAUAUAAUUUGUCAAUACUAAUUAAUCUAAACCCUAGCUAAACCCUAAAUCCUUAAUCAACUCCUAAUAACCCCUAAACAUUAUAUCUCAGCCCUUACACCAUAUCCCUAAAUCCAAUAUUAUAUAUAUACUCUUGAUCAAUUAUAAUAAUAACCUUAAAAUAGUAACCCCUAAACCGACUUAAAAUCUUAAAUUAAUAAUAUCAUAUAUAUACCCUUAAAACCUAAAACCCUAUAUUAACUAUAGUGAUACGCUUAAUUAAAUAUUUUAAAUUUAAAUUAAUACUUACUAUCUCUUUUAAUUACGAUAAUAAUUUCAAAUUUUUAAUAUAUAAAUUAAAACUUUAAAUAAUACUUUAAAAUUUAAAUUAUUUUAAAUAAUACUAUUUUAAUUUUUCCAUGUGUUUUAUUUCAAAUUAUUUAUACCUGUUAUUUUUUAUUGAAGAUUUUAAAUAUUCUAUUAGAAAUAUGUUUAAUUUGAUUCAAAUAAUAUAAAUAAUAGUUCAAUUAAGAUAAUUUUUUUUGCGGCGCAUAAACAAAAACGCCUCUAAAACACCUAGAUUAGCGGCGCUUUACAAAAACGCCACUAAUGCCCCCCCAAAGGACACAAAACGGCACCGUCUGGGAGUAUUAUUUGCGACAUUUUUUAUAAGCGCUGCUAAUGUUCACUCUUUAGCGGCGCUUUACAAUAAACGCCACUAAGUCCCCCCCAAAGGCCACAAAACGGCACCGUCUGGGUGUAUUAUUUGCGGCGUUAUCUAUAAACGCCACUAAUGCUCACUCUUUAGCGGCGCUUCGCAAUAAACGCCACUAAGUCCCCCCCAAAGGCCACAAAACGGCACCGUCUGGGUGUAUUAUUUGCGGCGUUAUUUAUAAACGCCGCUAAUGCUCACUCUUUAGCGGCGCUUUACAAUAAAUGCCACUAAGUCCCCCCAAAGGCCACAAAACGGCACCGUCUGGGUGUAUUAUUUGCGGCGUAAUCUAUAAACGCCACUAAUGCUCACUCUUUAGCGGCGCUUUACAAUAAACGCCACUAAGUCCCCCCCAAAGGCCACAAAACGGCACCGUCUGGGUGUAUUAUUUGCGGCGUUAUCUAUAAACGCCACUAAUGCUCACUCUUUAGCGGCGCUUUUCCUUAAACGCCACUAAUGCUCACUCUUUAGCGGCGCUUUUAAUUAAACGCCGCUAUUGCUCACUCUUUAGCGGCGCUUUUGCUCCAAACGCCGCUAAAAGUGCCGCUAAAAGCUUGUUUUGGUGUAGUGAUUCACCACUUCUCGAUCUACUCCUUACGAAAGCUCUACCUAUUAGUUGAACAUAUCUUUCGGGAACAUUCCUCGACCUAGUAAUCAUAUUAAUUUAUGUGAAUUCCACUCAUUAAUUGUCACUACUCAUUCUAAGAAGAUAGCGAAAGAAUUGGACCAAGUUGUGCAGGGAUGGUUACGAGAGCACAAACAGAAGAGAGUUGAAAAUAAGGCAAAUGGUGCGGAAGAUUUCAUGGGAGUAAUGUUGUCUAUUCUUAGUGAUGAUGAGGAACACCAUGCUGAUACAAUCAACAAAACCACGUGUCUCGUACGUGCGUCUCUUAACCAUUUUGGUCAAGAUUGCUAUUACUAACAUACGUAAGUUGGAAAUGUUAUUAUUUUAUUGUUGAUCUUUUUAUGGUAUAUGAUCUAACAUGACAUUGUCUUAGGUGCAGAGGAUACUACAUCGAUCACAUUGAAAUGGACCUUAUCUCUACUACUUAGUAAUCGUGACAAAUUGAGUAAAGUCCAACAAGAGCUAGAUGUCCACGUUGGUAAGGAUAGACUACUAGUGACUGAAUUAGACACAAAAAACUUAGUCUACCUUUAAUCCAUCAUUAAGGAAACUUUAUGUCUCUACCCUUCUAUUCCGCUCCCCCUAAUCUAUGAAGCCAUUGAAGACUGCACGGUUAAUGGAUACCAUGUUUCAACUGGUACUUGGCUUAUUAUGAAUCUUCAUAAGAUUCAUCAUGAUCCACUUAUAUAGACAAACUCUUUUUAAUUUCAACUUGAAAGAUUUAUGAAUACCCACAAAGACAUUGGUAUAAGGGGACAAAAUUUUGAACUUGUUCCAUUUGGAAGUGGUAGAAGAAUAUGCCCUAGAGUUUCAUUUACACUUCAGAUUUUGUCAUUUACACUAGCUAAUGUGUUGCAUUGGUUUGAGCUUAAGACUCCAUCAAACAAAGCUGUCGAUAUGCGUAAAGCACUUGGGAUAUCGAGUUCUAAAGCAACUUCAUUAGAAGUUUAUAUAACCCCUCGUCUUCUUUUUUUUUUAAUUUAUGAUUCCAUUAACUAAUUGGCAUUCUAAUUUUAUUAUAAAAAGAGUAGAAUUCAAUCAAUUUCUAAGGUUACUUGUCAUGUAAUAAUACCAUAUGCAACUUUUGGUAUAACAACCUAAUUUUCAGUGGUGUCAGAAAUAGUGAUUCAAGAUCACUAAAUCUGACUAGUGAGUUUUAAAAUUUAAUGAAUAAAUACAUAUGAGUCAAGUGUGAUUAUAGAAGAAUUUUGGAUUAGUAAAUUUUGUGAUUUAAAAACAAAUUAAUAAGUAAAUUUGGUCUAAAAUGAGGUAUCAAAACCUCGAACUCAUAAAUCGAGCCAUAAAUAUUUUUAGAAAUAUUUAUAGAGUGUUACUGAGUUGGUGUUAAAGUUUUGUUAGAAAAUUCUAACGUUUGGAUGGUCAAUUAAUUAAAAAGAACUAAAUUGAGAAUAGUGAAAAAUUUGUUAAAUUAUGAUUAAAUAGCUUAAGUGACUAAUAGGGAGGGAUUUAAAAGGCAAUUAGGCCCAAAUUAUAUGGGCUGGAUGGUUUGGGCAAGAAAAUCAGGAAGAAAAUAAGGAGAAACAAGGGAAAAAUUAGAAAUUUUGCAAAUUAAACAUAUAAAACAAAGACAAAAUUGAAAAAUCUAGAGAUUUCUUCAUAAUUCAUCAGCAAAAAUGCCAUAGGAGGUCUGAAACAGUCUGUUUUCUCAUAUUUUUAUACCAUGUGAGUUCAAUUCUUGCUUUUUCUUUGAAUUUUUUUAUGUUUUGUGACUUUUACAACUAGGUCCAACUAUUUAAUUCAUUAGUUUUUGAUUCCAUGGGUGAUUUUGUAAGUUACCAUGAAUAAGUGCUGGAAUUUUAUGAUUAAUUAUAAUAUAUUUGAAGCUUUAAUUUCAUUAUAUUUUGAUUUUAUUAAGUGAUUUUAGUAGAAAAUGAUUUUUAUGACCUAAUUGUGAAAAACCUAGGAAUUGGGGUGUUGUAUUGAAAUUAUGAAUAUCAAAGGCUGUAAUAUAGCCUAAAAUUAUUAGAUAAAGUGUUAUUUGAGGAAAAAAUUGUUCAAUUGAAAUGUUAAUUGAGUAGAGACUAAAUUGUAAAAAUUAUAAAUUUUGGAGUAAAAGUGUAAUUUCAAAAAUUAAAGGGCAUAAAUUGCGAAGUGAAUUAGUAUUGAAUUAUAUGCUAAUGAAUGGAAAAAUUUAUAUUAUAGAUCGAGAAUCUGAAGAUAAACAAGGAAAAGAAAAAGUCGUUGAUUAGUCCCUGAAAUAUUACAAUUCCUACAAAUUGGCCUAGGUAAGUUCGUACGGCUGAACGUUUAUGAUUAAUUGUUAAUGUGGUAAUGACAUAAUAUAUUAAUUCGUGUAUUGUUGUUGAAUUAUUAUUGUAAAAAUGUGAAAAUCAAAUUGUAAGUUCAAAUUAAGGGAUACGCAGGAUUGAGUAUGUACGUUUAGUAACCAGCGAUGAAUUAGCGAAUAAGUCCAUGGUGGAUCCAUGGAAAAGUGUGGAAUGUAGGUGUGGUAUUUCAGUAAAGUAAACCAUAUUGAGUUGUGAAAUGUAGGUAUGGUAUUUCAGUUAAGAUAACCGUACUGAGUCGAGAAAAGUAGGUAUGGUAUUUCAGUGAAGAAAGCCAUACUGAGUUAUAGCAUUGUAAAAGAUUCAAGCGAAUCGUGGCAUCGGGCAAAUGAUGUACUCAAAUCCGUAAGGCAAUCCUUAAUUAGACAAGUAUUUGUAAGUGCAAUUGAAGCUAAAUGUUGGAAUAUAAGUUUAUAUCUGAUAUUGAGCUCGAUUGAGUAAAUUCAUUGUUUGAGAUUGCGGUUGGCAGGAAAUGUUGUAUUAUACUUGUUUAUUAUAACUGGUAGUGAAAUUUUGGUAAGAUUUUAUUAUGAGCCUAUGAACUUACUAAGCUUUCUGUAAACUUACUUGUGUGUGUUUAUUAUUUCUUGUAGAUUGAUGUAUAUAUAUGUUCGGAGGAUCGGAUCUACAUCAAGGAUCACACUAUCCAGAUUUACUCCGGUAGAUUUUGUAAAACAACUUUUUGAUUUAUAUGGCAUGUGAAGGGGUUGAAGUAAUAAAAUAAUAGUAUGAAUGAUUAAGUAUGCAAAGUAAAUCUGAAUGUGAUGGUUGUGUUAGAUAUUGAAAUAUACAUGUUUUAGCUUGAAAUGGUUGAUAGGUUGGACUUUAUUAGUAUAUAAAUGUGUUUUUGUGCAAGAGGAUAGUAUGAGGGUGAGAAAAGUGGACUUAAAUGGUCCGAUUUUGUGUGUUUGAUUGUGUUUAAGUCCGAUAAUGCCUCGUACCCUGUUUCGGCAUCGGACACGGGUAAGGGGUGUUAAAUUUGGUAUUUUAACUUUCUUUAAAAAAAAAAGGUAAAAUUCAAUAAAUUUCAAAUAUUUCAUUCUUCUGAUUAAAUUUUAUCAUUGUUUCAUGGAAACUAAUUCUUUUAAAGUUCGUGAUAGCCAUUCCAAUAAUAUUCUCUCAAAAAUUUAAACUUAAAAUUUUCAUUUGGAAGUGUAUUAUGUUUUAUCAGGUUUUCUUUUUUGGUCCUUUAUUGCUGAGUUUAAUAGAGUAUUGAUUGCUUUAGUCUCGAAUAUUGAUCGACCACAGUGCCCUUUUCAAUUUCGGUCAAUUAAUUUGUGCAACAUUCUAAAUUAUUGUGAGUCAUAUUAGAUCGUUCUUGAAUAAUUGGAUUUUUUGAUCUAGUGUAUCUUUACAUAAUGUAAAAAUGGUAAAUGCAUAAUAAAAACUUUUAAUGAAUGGUCAAAACAAACAAAAGAGAAGUAGAUUGCACGAACUGCAAUAUGCUAUAAAUGUAUGUUUUUGUGAUGGCAACAUAAGAUUAAUUUAAUUUAUUUGUAUUAUUGAUGAGACAUAUAAUUAUUGAUGAGAAAUAUAACUAUCUGUGAUGCAUUGUUUAGGCAAUAAAUAGGUUGCAUUGUGGUACAUAUGUGGUAUGCAUUUUGAUUGCUUUUGUAGGAGUGUUUAUUGAUAUUUUACUUUGUAUUUUUAUAUUUUUGUGGUACGGAUUUUAUUGGAGAAUAAUCAUUGUUGGAAGUGAGAUUGUUUGAAGUGAAUGAUUGUAAUAUUAAGAGUAUCUUAUUAGGACUGCAAUUAUCCAUUGUAUAAUAGUAAGCUUGGACUUUAGCAAUAGGGUUUUAAAUCCAUUUUUAAAUAAAAACAUUUACUGAUUAAGGUUUUGCAGAGAUAAAUCCAAACUGUGUUAACAAACAUCACGAUUUGGGCGUUUGAUUAAUAAUGGUAAAGAAAAUUAAUUAGUUAUAUGUUUGAAGACAUUUGACUUCAGUUUGAGUUGAUUGAAAGUGUAGGUAUCUUCUUGGAAGCGUAUUAUCAUUGGGACUCUUUCUAAACCUCAUAACAUCAACUUAUGAUAUCAACUUGAUCAAAAAUUUAAAUAAUAUAAAUUUGAUUAAUAAUAAUCAAAAUUAACUCAAUAAAAACCAAGAAAAUAUCCGAAAAAUCCAAGAUAAUUUCAAGAAAAAUCCCACGCAUGUGGAUACGAUGUUUUAAAGUCCCAAAACUGAAAAUUUUGGGCACUGAAAAUAAAAAAUUUGCAACUUAUGGUCACUCAUUUUAUCUUUUUAAUUUCUUUUAAUUUUUUAUUUUUUAAGGAUCAAUUUUAAUUUUUUUUUCAGUAAAGGAGAAAAACUGAAAAUUUAGAGGAAAAUUCAGGUUAGAAUUUCCUUUAUUUUUUCUUUUUAGAAUUAAUUUCAGUUUUUUUCCUCAAUAAAAUGGAAGGGAAAAGCCUAAGAUUUUAUAGGGAAUUACCUAGGUUUAAUAGAAAAAGAUACUUUAGUUUUUACUGGAAAAACUAAUUUAUCUUUUUUAUUUUUUUAGAAUUAAUUUUAUUUUAUUUUCCAAUAAAAGGGAAACACCUAGAGCUUUAUAGGAAAUUAUUUGAGUUCUUAUUAAAGUUGGGCGACUAAAAAUGAGUAUGUUUAAUGGAAAAUUAAUGGUGGGUGACUAAAAUGAUAUAAAAGUAUGUAACGACAGUACCUAAAUUGCAAACUUUUAAAUUUUGGUGCCCAAAAUGAAUACUUAUAAAAGUUGAGUGACUAACUGAGUAUAUUUAAUGACAAAUUAACAGUGGGUGACUAAAAUGAUAAAAAAAGUAUGUAACGAUAGUGACUAAAAUGAUAAAAGUAUAUAACGACAGUACUUAAAUUGUAAACUUUCAAAUUUGGUGCCCAAAAAGAAUACCUAUAAAAGUGAGUGACCAACUGUGUGGUUUACCCUUUUCUUUAUUUUGCAUAUCUAUUUUAUUGUCUUUAUUUGGGAUUUGUAAUUGUUUUUUAAUAAUAUUCGUCUUGAAGGUUUAAACUCGUGUUUUCUUUCUUAAUAGUAUAACGUAUCUUACUACUACACCUAAUACUUGUUAGUGGUGAAAUGAAAAAAUAAAUAUGAAAAUUAUAUAUAUUUUUAAAUCAAUCCAUCAAAUAUAAACUUUAUUAUAAGAUAAACAUAAAAUGAUUUAUUUUAAAUAAUUUAUUGUAUACUAACAAAAUUUACUUGUACCACAUCAUUUGCAAUUUUAAACUUAAAAGCUUAAAAAAAAACACAAACACACACCAAAAAAAAAAAAAAAACAGAACACUUGUUUGAAUGCAAUUGGAUGAAGAAGUUGACAAUGUACGAGCUGCUAUGACAUGCACAUUCCUUGUCCAACAACUCAAACUCCCUUAUCUCUGCUACUCACCUUCCAUUUCAUAUCUUAAUCUUAAAGUGGGAAUCUGGCGAUGGAUUAUCUCCAUUCACUCACAGCAACUUCAACUGCUGCAAUCAUUGCUUUUCCACUACUUUUUCUUUUCUCUUUUCUAUGGAUCUCAAGAAGAAACACAAACUCGAAGAAAACAGCACCAGAAGCUGGUAUUAUUGGUCAUCUCCGCCUCUUAGGAGGAUCACAACCACCUCACAUAAGCUUGGCUAACAUGGCUGACAAAUAUGGAAGAAUCUUCAGUAUCAAGUUGGGUGUGCAUAGAGCUUUGGUGGUGAGCAAUUGGGAGAUUGCUAAAGAAUGUCUCACCAUAAAUGAUAAAGCAUUCGCCUCUCGUCCAAUGCUUGCAUGCUCGGAAAUUAUGGGUUACAACGGUGCCAUGAUUGGCUUUGCGCCAUAUGGACCUUAUUGGCGUCAAGUGCGUAAGAUUGUCAUUAUUGAGCUCCUCUCAAAUCACCGACUUGAAUUGCUUAAACCUCUGAGGGAAUCCGAGAUAAAGACAUCUCUGCAACAGUUAUACCAGCUGUGGAACAAGAAGAAAAGUACUAACUCCGAUAAAGUAUUGGUGGAGAUGAAGGGAUGGUUCAAAGAAGUUACUCUGAAUGUUAUUAUGAGGAUGAUUGUAGGGAAGCGACUUCCAAAUUCCAGUGAAGGAGGUGAAAACUUGAAAAGGAAGAAAUAUUUGGAUGACUUCUUUGAACUGAGUGGAAAGUUCCUAAUAUCAGAUGCGUUGCCGUUUUUAAGAUGGUUGGACAUAGGUGGAGACAUGAAGUGCAUGAAGAAGACAGCGAAAGAAUUGGACCAAGUUGUGCAGGGAUGGCUACGAGAGCACAAGCAGAAGAGAGCUGAAAAUAAGGCAAAUAGUGAGGAAGAUUUCAUGGGAGUGAUGCUGUCUAUUCUCAGUGAUGCGGAGGAACUCCAUGUUGAUACAAUCAAUAAAGCCAUCAGUCUCGUACGUGCAUCUCUCUUAACCAAACUGAUUGCCAUUAAUAUCAUACAGAAGUUGGAAAUGCUAUUAAUUCAUUGUUGAUUGCCAUUAAUAACAUACAGAAGUUGGAAAUGCUAUUAAUUCAUUGAUUGCCAUUAACAACGUCAGUUACUCUGACAUGGGCUUUGUCUUGUUACUCAAUAAUCGUGACACAUUAAGUAAGGUCCAACAAGAACUAGAUGUUAAGGUUGGUAAGGAUAGGUUGGUAGUGACGGAAUCAGACACCAAAAGCUUAGUGUACCUUCAAUCCAUUAUUAAGGAAACGCUACGCUUAUACCCUGCUCUUCCACUAUCCCUGAUCCAUGAAGCCAUUGAAGACUGCACAGUUAAUGGAUAUCAUGUUUCAGCUGGCACUUGGCUUAUUAUAAAUCUUCAUAAGAUUCAUCGUGAUCCACUUAUAUGGGCAAAUCCCUCUAAAUUUCAACCUGAAAGAUUUAUGACCACACAUAAAGAUGUUGAUGUGAGGGGACAAAAUUUUGAACUGAUUCCAUUUGGAAGUGGUAGAAGAAUGUGUCCCGGACUUUCAUUUGCACUUCAGAAUUUGUCACUUAUACUAGCUAAUGUGUUACAUUGGUUUGAGUUUGAGACCUCGUUCGAUGAAGCCGUUGAUAUGCGUGAAGCACCUGGCCUGACGAGUUCUAAAGCAACUCCAUUAGAAGUUCAUAUAACUCCUCGUAAUCCUACUUAUGUUUAGCAAUUAUUAUAAGAAUUAACUUUUUAGUAUUAUUACUAUUUAUAUCUUUUUUGUGGAUAUCAAAAUUGUUAGUAUAUUGCUUAUUUAUCGAACAAUUAUUAUAUACACGAUCAAAAAUAAAUAUUUGGGCUACUUGGUGCUGUUGGUGCAAUUGAUUUUACUGAUUUAAUAUUUUUAUUUUAUUUUUUAUUUUUGAAUAAAUAAUUUUAUUCAAAACAUGCAUCUCAGUAGUUGUGUUGAAAGAAUAUCAACGUACUAAAGCAUAUGAGAACGAUGGUCAAUUGGAACCUUACCCCUGUAUUGGUGGAUAUCAACGUACUACUAAAGAAUUAAGUUGGAGGUGUUUACUGGGCACUUCUAACAAAAUUUGAGAGAGUUCAUUUCAUAAACAUAUAGUUUUAACUAAAUGAUAAAUUUAGAGUUGUUAUGCCUCUACCACUUCUCAAUUUACUCCUCACGAAAGCUCCACUUAUUAUUCGAACAUAUCUUUCGGGAACACUUCUCUACUUAACAGUUAUAUUAGUUUAUGUGAGCCUCACUUAUUAAUUGUCACUAUUCAUCUUUACUACCGUAUUUCAUCUCAAGUGAUUAAAAGCACUAUCAAUCCCCAUUCUACCUACACAUAUGGUGAUAGACAAUAUGGCCCCUUUUCUUGACUUGUUAAUAGAGACGUGACACGUGUAUCUCAAAAUUGUAGCUAAGGGUUUAAAAUACCUCAAAAUUGACUAGAAAAUGGCGCUCUCUCUCUCUUCCCCCCUCUCCCUCCCUCUCUCUCUUAAUAUACAUCAUCUACAUAAAUAGAACAUAAAAUUCAACGGUUGACUUAUUAAGAUAUUAAUUGUAUAAAAAAAUUAUAAAAAGUAUAAUAUCACUAUAAUUUUUGAUAAAUUAUAAAUAGCACGAGUCAAACCAAAAUCUCACAUAAGACAUUAAACACCCUUAACCAUCAAACCAAUACAUAAAGUUUAAUAUCAUUAUAAUUUUAUACUAAUAUAAGUGUAUCAUUUCCCUAUAUUUAAUGAUGAUAAUAAUAGACAAGAAUAUUAAUUUCGUGGAAAACAAUAAGUGAACGAAUUUCCUUUUUCAUCUUCAUUUUUUAUUUGGAAAUAAAAAUGUGUUCCACGAAGAUUACCAGGCUGGUUUUGUUAAUGUAGAAAAUAACGUUCUGUUUGUUUUACGAAAAAUGUAUUCAAAGUUUGAUUCAUGGAAAAUAGUUUGAUCAAUGGAAAAUGACUUAUAAGUCAACUGAAAAUAAGUCAUUUUUCUUGUAAAAUGACUUAGCGUAAAUCAUUUUUUCGGAGAAGAACUCAUUUAUAGGUAAUUUUACUUUCAUAUAAAAAAUAACUUUUAGUCAAGCUUAAUAUUAUUAUAUUAAUAAUAAAUUUUAUUUUUAUUUUUAAAAAUAUUUAAAAUAAAUAAAAUAUUAAUAUAACAUAUUAUAAUUUUUAAUAUUAUUAAACAUACAUAUUUAAUUAUCUCUAUCUAAUCAUAUAAUAAAUUAUUAUUUAAUAAAUUAAUUUUAUUUUAAUAAUAAAUUUUGAAAAUAAUAAUUUUAAAUAAUUUCAUAUAUUAUUGAAAAAAUUCAAUAUUAAUAUUUUGAUAACAAAUAUUUAUUACAAUUAUAAAUAUAUUAAUAAUAAAUGUUUUGUAGUAUAAAGUUUAAAAUAUGUCAUAAGUCUAUGUACUCUUUACAAAUUCAGAAUUAUAAAGUUUAAAUAUUUAGCCCAUCUACUCUUCAGAUUUGAAAAUCAAGUCCAAUUGUUAACAUUGCUUAAUUUUUUUUGUUAAUUUUGUCGAUUUUAAAUUUUCAAACAAAAAAUAUUCACUUGAUAGUCAUUUAACUAAAAAAUGAGGUUAUAAUUAACCUGAAUUUAAUAGAAUAUUUUUAGUAGUAGUAACUGUUGAGCCUGAAUUUAAUAUCUAAAAAGUAAAACUAAAUUUUCAAAAAUAAAAGUAAAUGGGCUAAAUAAUAUAAUUUUAUAAUAUGAUUCCACAAAUCUAUUAUUUAUGUUAUUUUAGAUAUUUAGUUAGCGAGAGAUGGUAGUGGAUCGUCAAGGAAAAGUGGUUUGCAAUAUUUGUCUUUGGGUUAAUUUAAUUAAUUGUCCCUAGAGUAUUAAUUAGACUUCAAAUUAGUUCCUAAAUUUUAAAAUAUUUUAUUUAAAUUCUUAAAAUAUUGGUAUCGAACAAAUCAUAUCAUUACCUCAACUUAACCGCUAAUUUAGAUGUUGAAUAAUAGUUUGAAUUUGACAUAGAGCAUAUUCAAAUUACGAGCAACAAAUUAUAAACACAUGUAAACUUAUCACAUAAACAUGUUGGAUAUGAAAAAUAAACGGUAUAAAAGAAUUUAGAAGUGUAAUUUUUUUAAGUUGUUAUUGUUUGUAUUCUAGCUUAAUAAUUGAGUAAUAUUAUAUAUUUAAUUUGAUGUAUUUAUUUAUAAAUAAAUUAUUGUAAUAUAUGAAAAAAAACAUAAAAUAUAUAUUUAUAGAUAUAAAAUAAAUUCAAUUAAAUAAUGAAAAUAUAAAAGAAUCUUAAAUGUAUUAAUUGAAAACAAUUUUUAUGAAAUAUUUUCAGGAAAAUUACUAAAUAAUCGAAAAUAUUUAUACUGAUUUAUUUGAACACCAUAAAAAAUUAAAUUUUUUAUAAAAAUAAAUCAUUUUUCAAAAAUCUUUUUUUUUUGGAAAUCAUUUUCAAGAAAAUAAAUGGAGCCCAAGAUUGGAAUUAGUAUAACCUGUCGUCUUUCUUCACAUCGCAGUACUUCGUUGAUUUUCUUAUAUGGCUUAAAAAUUCCAAUAUCAGUAACGUAUGUUAGUGAAAGAUCAAUAUACGAUAAUUACGUCAACAACACAACAAUGCAUAUAUAUGCAUUGUCUGUAUCUUAGAUUGAAAGUAGAAAUUUGGCGAUGGAUUAUUCCCAUUCACUCACAGCAACUUCAGCUGUUGCAAUCAUUGCUUUUCCACUACUAUUUCUUUUCUCUUUUCUAUGGAUCUCAAGAAGAAACACAAACUCGAAGAAAACAGCACCAGAAGCUGGUGGAGCAUGGCCUAUUAUUGGUCAUCUCCGCCUCUUAGGAGGAUCACAACCACCUCACAUAAGCUUGGCUAACAUGGCUGACAAAUAUGGAGGAAUCUUCAGUAUCAAGUUGGGUGUGCAUAGAGCUUUGGUGGUGAGCGAUUGGGAGAUUGCAAAAGAAUGUCUCACCGUAAAUGAUAAAGAGUUUGCCUCUCGUCCAA